UGUAUUUAUUAGAUUAAAAACCAAUGCCCUUCGGGGCUCCUUGGUGAUUCAUAAUAACUUAACGAAUCGCAUGGCCUUGUGCCGGCGAUGGUUCAUUCAAAUUUCUGCCCUAUCAACUUUCGAUGGUAGUAUAUGGGACUACCAUGGUUUCAACGGGUAACGGGGAAUUAGGGUUCUAUUCCGGAGAGGGAGCCUGAGAAACGGCUACCACAUCCAAGGAAGGCAGCAGGCGCGCAAAUUACCCAAUCCCGACACGGGGAGGUAGUGACAAUAAAUACUGAUACAGGGCUCUUUUGGGUCUUGUAAUUGGAAUGAGUACAAUUUAAAUCCCUUAACGAGGAACAAUUGGAGGGCAAGUCUGGUGCCAGCAGCCGCGGUAAUACCAGCUCCAAUAGCGUAUAUUAAAGUUGUUGCAGUUAAAAAGCUCGUAGUUGAACCUUGGGCCUGGCUGGCCGGUCCGCCUCACCGCGUGUACUGGUCCGGCCGGGCCUUUCCUUCUGGAGAGCCCCAUGCCCUUCACUGGGCNGUGUGGGGGAACCAGG
Molecule: ribosomal RNA, 542 nt
Filed under: uncultured eukaryote
Lineage: Eukaryota
Description: SSU rRNA
Rfam family: Eukaryotic small subunit ribosomal RNA
Source: RNAcentral